GAAGCUGGAUUCGCUAGUAAUCGCGCAUCAGCCAUGGCGCGGUGAAUACGUUCCCGGGCCUUGUACACACCGCCCGUCAAGCCAUGGAAGCCGGGGGCGCUUGAAGUGCGUUGCCGCAAGGCGCGCCCUAGAGCGAAACCGGUGACUGGGGCUAAGUCGUAACAAGGUACC
This 171-nucleotide ribosomal RNA is filed under the name uncultured bacterium. Its description in RNAcentral is "partial 16S ribosomal RNA". It matches the Rfam family "Bacterial small subunit ribosomal RNA", at positions 1322 to 1500 of the family's 1533-position model. The record is from RNAcentral.